Molecule: ribosomal RNA, 492 nt
Filed under: uncultured bacterium
Lineage: Bacteria
Description: partial 16S ribosomal RNA
Rfam family: Bacterial small subunit ribosomal RNA
Source: RNAcentral
AGUGAACGCUGGCGGUAGGCCUAACACAUGCAAGUCGAACGGCAGCACAGUAAGAGCUUGCUCUUACGGGUGGCGAGUGGCGGACGGGUGAGGAAUACAUCGGAAUCUACUUUUUCGUGGGGGAUAACGUCGGGAAACUUACGCUAAUACCGCAUACGACCUACGGGUGAAAGCAGGGGAUCUUCGGACCUUGCGCGAUUGAAUGAGCCGAUGUCGGAUUAGCUAGUUGGCGGGGUAAAGGCCCACCAAGGCGACGAUCCGUAGCUGGUCUGAGAGGAUGAUCAGCCACACUGGAACUGAGACACGGUCCAGACUCCUACGGGAGGCAGCAGUGGGGAAUAUUGGACAAUGGGCGCAAGCCUGAUCCAGCCAUACCGCGUGGGUGGAGAAGGCCUUCGGGUUGUAAAGCCCUUUUGUUGGGAAAGAAAAGCAGCAGGUUAAUACCCCGCUGUUCUGACGGUACCCAAAGAAUAAGCACCGGCUAACUUCGUG